GUAAUACUCCCUCCGACCCAAAAUUCUUGUAUUAGAUUUGUGUAGAUAUGAAUAUAUCUAGUCACAUUUUAGUAUUUAGAUACAUCCAUUUCUAGACAAACCUAAGACAAGAUUUUUGGGACAGAGGGAGUAGUUA
RNAcentral lists this microRNA precursor (136 nucleotides) under Hordeum vulgare. Its description in RNAcentral is "microRNA MIR1122". It matches the Rfam family "MIR1120/MIR1122 microRNA precursor family". The record is from RNAcentral. Lineage: Eukaryota; Viridiplantae; Streptophyta; Magnoliopsida; Poales; Poaceae.